This 254-nucleotide ribosomal RNA is filed under the name uncultured bacterium. RNAcentral's name for it is "partial 16S ribosomal RNA". It matches the Rfam family "Bacterial small subunit ribosomal RNA", at positions 524 to 776 of the family's 1533-position model. The record is from RNAcentral.
UACGGGGGGAGCAAGCGUUGUUCGGAUUUACUGGGCGUAAAGGGCGCGUAGGCGGCCACCGCAAGUCGACUGUGAAAUCUCCGGGCUUAACCCGGAAAGGUCAGCCGAUACUGCGGGGCUAGAGUGCAGAAGGGGCAACUGGAAUUCUCGGUGUAGCGGUGAAAUGCGUUGAGAUCGGGAGGAACACCCGUGGCGAAGGCGGCACCCUGGCCGAGGUCUGACGCUGAAGCGCGACAGCGUGGGGAGCGAACGGG